Molecule: non-coding RNA, 98 nt
Filed under: bovine gut metagenome
Description: TPP riboswitch (THI element)
Rfam family: TPP riboswitch aptamer (THI element)
About the family: Vitamin B(1) in its active form thiamin pyrophosphate (TPP) is an essential coenzyme that is synthesised by coupling of pyrimidine and thiazole moieties in bacteria.
Source: RNAcentral
UGUCUUUAGGGGAGCUUCCUAUAGAAGCUGAGAGGUUAUUGUUCAUAACGACCCUUGACCUGAUCUAGAUAAUGCUAGCGAAGGGAAGAGGAUUUACU